AUUGAACGCUGGCGGCAUGCCUAACACAUGCAAGUCGAGCGGAGCGGCGGACGGGUGAGUAAUGCCUAGGAAUCUGCCUGGUCGUGGGUGAUCACGUCCGGAAACGGGCGCUAAUACCGCAUACUAUCAGAUGAGCCUAGGUCGGAUUAGCUUGUUGGUGGGGUAAAGGCAUACCAAGGCGACGAUCCGUAUCUGGUCUGAGAGGAUGAUCAGUCACACUGGGACUGAGACACGGCCCAGAAUCCUACGGGAGGCAGCAGUGGGGAAUUUUGGACAAUGGGCGAAAGCCUGAUCCAGCCAUGCCGCGUGUGUGAAGAAGGUCUUCGGAUUGUAAAGCACUUUAGGUUGGGAGGCGUUACCAACAGAAUAAGCACCGGCUAACUACGUGCCAGCAGCCGCGGUAAUAC
Molecule: ribosomal RNA, 407 nt
Filed under: uncultured bacterium
Lineage: Bacteria
Description: partial 16S ribosomal RNA
Rfam family: Bacterial small subunit ribosomal RNA
Source: RNAcentral